Molecule: ribosomal RNA, 600 nt
Filed under: uncultured bacterium
Lineage: Bacteria
Description: bacterial SSU rRNA
Rfam family: Bacterial small subunit ribosomal RNA
Source: RNAcentral
CCGGAGCUUGCGUCCANCGGAAAAAGAGGAGUGGCGAACGGGUGAGUAACANGUGGGUAACCUGCCCAUCAGAAGGGGAUAACACUUGGAAACAGGUGCUAAUACCGUAUAACAAUCGAAACCGCAUGGUUUCGAUUUGAAAGGCGCUUUCGGGUGUCGCUGAUGGAUGGACCCGCGGUGCAUUANCUAGUUGGUGAGGUAACGGCUCACCNAGGCGACNAUGCAUAGCCGACCUGAGAGGGUGAUCGGCCACAUUGGGACUGANACNCGGCCCAAACUCCUACGGGAGGCAGCAGUAGGGAAUCUUCGGCAAUGGACGAAAGUCUGACCGAGCAACGCCGCGUGAGUGAAGAAGGUUUUCGGAUCGUAAAACUCUGUUGUUAGAGAAGAACAAGGAUGAGAGUAACUGUUCAUCCCUUGACGGUAUCUAACCGAGAAAGCCACGGCUAACUACGUGCCAGCAGCCGCGGUAAUACGUANGUGGCAAGCGUUGUCCGGAUUUAUUGGGCGUAAAGCGAGCGCAGGCGGUUUCUUAAGUCUGAUGUGAAAGCCCCCGGCUCAACCGGGGAGGGUCAUUGGAAACUGGGAGACUUGAGUGCA